CAAAAGGGCACAAAACAUUUCAGGCAGAGGCAGUAGGAGAAACCAGUUGUCUUCCAAGAAGUCAGAAACUAGAGACAUUUGCAAAAGGAAUCUAUCAAGAGAUCCAAAGAGGAUACGCCUGUACACUUGAUAGAGAGCAAGACGUAAGGCCCUCAGGAUGGAAACAAGCCAAGGAGCCCAGAAGCAGGGCCACGUCCAGGAAGCCAACAUUGCCCAGGAAAGGAACGAAGAAACCCAGCAGGACAGAGGCUCAAAAUCACUCCCAAGUGACGAUUCUCAAAUGCUUCAUCUGGGAGCCAAACCCGUUUUGACGCGCCUGCAAACUCCUUGUUGCCUCUUCCUCGAGGCGUCACCCCGUGUGUGUUAGCCGCUCGUGUUGGCUGUAAGGUCCAUCCUGUGCUUGUGGUUUGUGGGGGCACCUGUUUGGGGCUUGAGAGUUAUAGGUAUUGCUGAGUUUGCUUAGUUCUACUUAUAAAGAAAACAAAGCCAAAUGCUUUUGCUCCAGCUACAGAUCACUGGGGAGAAGGAAAAACUGUUUUUAAUCAUUCAGCCUGUCUUCCCUCUUCUUUCACAUUCCCUCUGUAUUCCUUUUUCAUCUUCACUUAAGAAAUGCCUUCUGCCCCUCCCCUGCUCAUGCUCUGUCUCAAAAAAAAAAAAUAAAUAAAUAAAUAAAUAAAAAAUGCCCUUGGGAGACACCACUGAGGUUGAAGGGGGGUGGGGGAGACAAAGAUGGGACUUGCCCUGGCGCGCUUUGCAGGUCAGGUGUCAGGCAAAGGAAGAAAACGGAACGUAUGGAAAGGAAGAACAUAUUUUUGUGAUUUGUUUUUUUUUUCUUUAAUCAAUAUGUUAGCAGGACGAAAAUUAAUCAGGUUUUUUAAGCUGAAACUGAGGGUGCGGAAGAAGGGGUAUGGUUGGUUGUCUUUAUCUGUGUUACAGUAGAAGCUCAGAGAAAGGGGCUCAGGCUGUGGCAGGAAGGAUGGGAGCACGAUUGAGUCGGGAAGGAGGGCCCGGGGUUGCUGGCCGUGGUGGUCCAGGACCAGUGACCCUGGACUUGAGCAAGGAGCUUCAGCUGAGGCUAAGGGCAGUGCUGCCCGUGAGCCUCUCGUGGGCUCCUGGAUGGCUUCUGCAGUCUCUUGCACGAUAAGGGUCUCCUGGCCAAUCACCACCCCGAGUUCAAAUCCUGGCUCUCUUCACUUUGACCAGUGUGAUUUGGGGCAACUAAAUCCAUAUCUGAGGCUCUUUAGUGUAUCUGCUAACGCAGAGUGAUUUAAUGCCCUGCUCUGACCACGCUGCCUUACUAGGAUGUGUUACCCAUUUGUGGGACCCGGUGGCGAAGAAGAGGAGAAACGCCUCCUUCAAAAGUUGCUGUCUAGACAAUUGACACAAAGCGUUAAAGCCCGCACAGGGCCCUUAGUGCAGAGCCCUGUGGCUCUGCCCCGGUCACACGCCCGCCCGGGAAGCCUGCUCUAUAUAGCCUGGAGGUAAUCAUCCCUGAGCCCCUGGGGGAUGGUCUGGCUCAGGAAGACUCAGAUUAAGCCAACACAAGUUGACCCUGUGCCGAGGACCCGGCAGGCCUCACGCUGCUCUGCACGGACCUGCUGUGAGCAGGUUACAGGGAUGGUUUGAAGCACACAGUCUGUUAUGGAUGUGUUUAAAUAGAUCUAAAAGCUUUCAGCUUGGUUUUUUUUUUCCCCCAAGUUGAACCCCCAAGCUUACUAAGGCCAAAUGGGAUCACAAAUGCAGACUGCAUGGCCCAUCGUAGAAACCAACCGACGUUUCCCCGUAUUUGUUCCCGGAAUCCCCCGCAAGAGGGUCAGGAGAUCGCUGCUUGCAGGGCGGGCCCUCGGUUUCGGCAACAGAGCCGGGGAAUCAAAAGCUCCGUAGCUGCCGCAUGGGAACCUGCCUUUGUACCAAUGUCCCCAGAGGCUCUCACGUCUCCACGGCUUUCACCUGACUGCAGUGAACCCGAUACCCAUCGGCACCCUCCCCAUUUGAAAGAUAAUCUUCAUGCAUAAUUCCUGCUCGGCCGAAUGACGCCUAGCUAUCACCAGAAACGCGUGACCCUUAACAACGACAGCUCUCAUUUUCCAGAGCGAUGAGCAUCGCACCAAUUCGAACAACGCAAGCCACGGCGCACGAGCAUUUUCUAUGCGCCAAGCGCUUGUUUAAUCCCACAAUGACUUCCGAGGUGGGGGUUGCCCACCCGUGUUCUAGGAAAGGAACCGGAUGCUCAGAGAGACUAAAAGACUUGGAGCCAGCAAGCAGCAGUGUUGUGAUGGAAGCCUGGCUUUUUGGCGGGCCCAACAUCCACAGCGUUCCAUUCUUUCCACGUGAGACCGACUACCUUGCCAGGUAGGAAAAAAAUUACCAGUGCGGGUAAAUUGUCCCCAUAAACUUCCUUUCUUUUUUUUUUUUUUGUGAUGUAGGUGCAUUGGCCUUCCUUGCAGCAAACUUGGAGCUUGGAGAAAGAACCUUCUGGAGAACCACAGGGUCUCUUGCUUGGCAAGAGGCCCUCAAAGGAGAAGCGUUAUUGAACCGCACUGUUUUCUCUUGUCCGAAGCUAACCCCAGCAUAUGCCUCGCGAGACCUCUGUCACUACAUUUUUUAGUUAAUAAAUCUGGCU
Long non-coding RNA from Herpailurus yagouaroundi (jaguarundi), 2623 nucleotides. RefSeq lists it as uncharacterized. Lineage: Eukaryota; Metazoa; Chordata; Mammalia; Carnivora; Felidae. The record is from RefSeq and is a predicted model, not a curated record. The transcript is spliced from 4 exons.